GAUGAAGAACGUAGCGAAAUGCGAUAAGUAGUGUGAAUUGCAGACUUUAGUGAAUCAUCGAGUCUUUGAACGCACAUUGCGCCCCCUGGUAUUCCGGGGGGCAUGCCUGUCCGAGCGUCAUUGCCGCCCUCAAGCACGGCUUGUGUGUUGGGCCCCCGCCCCCCGGCUUCGGGGGGCGGGCCCGAAAGGCAGCGGCGGCACCGCGUCCGGUCCUCGAGCGUAUGGGGCUUCGUCACCCGCUCUGUAGGCCCGGCCGGCGCCCGCCGGCGACCCCAAUCAAUCUUUCCAGGUUGACCUCGGAUCAGGUAGGGAUACCCGCUGAACUUAAGCAUAUCAAUAAGCGGAGGA
This 348-nucleotide unclassified non-coding RNA is filed under the name soil metagenome. RNAcentral describes it as "partial contains 5.8S ribosomal RNA, internal transcribed spacer 2, and large subunit ribosomal RNA". The stretch from base 1 to 120 matches the Rfam family "5.8S ribosomal RNA", at positions 35 to 154 of the family's 154-position model. The record is from RNAcentral.